RNAcentral lists this unclassified non-coding RNA (389 nucleotides) under fungal sp. RNAcentral's name for it is "partial internal transcribed spacer region". The stretch from base 1 to 46 matches the Rfam family "Eukaryotic small subunit ribosomal RNA", at positions 1786 to 1831 of the family's 1831-position model. The record is from RNAcentral. Lineage: Eukaryota; Fungi.
AAGUCGUAACAAGGUUUCCGUAGGUGAACCUGCGGAAGGAUCAUUAACACGUAUCCACGUAUCAACCAAUCGUGAACUCGUUUUCGCUUCUCCCUGCUGCGGGAAAUUGGACAGGUCGGACAGUUUGAGUGGGACUCUUCGGAGUCGCGGUCCGACCUCAUAGGGACAGCUUCGGUUGUCACGUACAAUUUUCUGCGGUCAGGCUUUUUCUUAUUUUUCGAGGCUCCAUUCAAGCCUUGAUUAGUAGGAGUUUAUUCACAAAUUUCACCCCUUUUUGCUAGUUGACUUUUUUAUGUGGUGUUCGGCGAGAAUUUAUUCUUACUGCGCUCACACGUUUAAUUACUUGAACGUUAAAAAUACAACUCUUAGCAAUGGAUAUCUUGGUUCUC